RNAcentral lists this long non-coding RNA (1556 nucleotides) under Lactuca sativa (garden lettuce). RNAcentral describes it as "long non-coding RNA (LSAT_LNC006419)". Lineage: Eukaryota; Viridiplantae; Streptophyta; Magnoliopsida; Asterales; Asteraceae. The record is from RNAcentral.
UAAAAAAUACAAAUUGCAAAAUAUCACAAGAUGAGAAAAGAUAUCUACAAUAAAGACAAAUUCCCAAGACUUAUAAGUCUUUGAACGUAUAAUUUGGGGCCAUUAAUUCCAAUUCUGCAUCUAUGAUUUUUCUUAUAGUCUUGUUCUAAUUUUAUGGAGAAUAAGUAUUGAUGGAAAUUGUGUAUGCCUCAUAUAAGUGGCCACCAAUUUGAGGCCACCCUCAUGGGCCCAGGAGCAUGUUUGGGCCUUCUAACACAGACCAAGAAUUACUUGUUGUGGAGCCCACUUUUAACAAUUCUCAUCACAUCACUUUUUUAAAAGUGAUGUAUCUUUGAAAAUAUCACAAGUUUGGAAAAGAUCUUGAUAAUAAAUUCAAAUUGCCAAGACUUGCAAGUCUUUGAACGUCUAAUUUGGGGCAGUGUAUUAUAACUCUUCAUCUUUAAUUUGUCUUCUAGUUUUAGGUUCUAAUUUCAUGGAAAUUAAGCAUUGUGUGUUCCACCCAUUUAGAAUCAUUCAUCUUCAUGGAGACUAUAUAAACCCUCAUGGGCCUGUUCAUAAAGACAUCAACACAAUACUAAAAUGUCUUAAUAGAGAAUAAAUGAAAGUACAAUACUGCAAUAACAAAAAGAUUAAUGAAUGUACGUUGCUAUUUCUUACAUUUAACCCUUUUGCAUUUGACCAAAUGUAUUAUCAUCAAAGUCACAAUACAAAUUAUCACAAAGUGUAGUAGAUUAUGGUGUUAAUGAGAAGCCGAAUACAUUUGCUCUCAUCCAAAACAAUCGAUCAACUUAACCCCUGGUGAUUUUAGCAUUUACCUCUUCUAAAAGCUAAGUUUGAAAGAUAUCAUCAACAACACUAAUUCAACUGCAAUCAAAUAAUAUUAUGUUGCACCUACUUGUGCAGCUAGAUCCGUUUGUUUAUUGCUGGGUUUGAUAUGGAGAAUGUUAGUGAAUGCUAGUGUACACAAACAUUAGCUUAGCAAUGUAGGCACAAUCAACCAACAGAACAGAUGCUCAUAAGGUAGCUGGAAGAAAAGAUCAGAUAAAGACCAGAACACGCUCCAUUUUUACAUUUAUAUUAUUGAUAACUGAGAAAUAAAACCCAUCGAUCAGUAAAAAUCAAUGGCCUUUUCCAUGGCAAAACCCUGAAUUUGCAGGUUAUGCAAAUAAUAUAAACUCACAAGUCUGUCUCCUAAUCUAACAAUAGAUUAGAUGCACCUGAAGAAUACCCAAAAUGAAGCAACAAUACAGAAGUAGGACAUCACCUAGGCAAUGAUGUGUGCGUGGUUGCUCUGCUACGAUGCUCGGAUUUGGAACCCUCGUUGACUGAUUUUGAUUGUAGAGGAAAAAUGGUGUAUUGGAUGGCACAUAGAUCUCACGAUCCUAUCUGGAUCUUGCGAGCAUAAUCACGAAUCUUGUUUCAAAAUCAGAAAUUAAUUUCUGAUGUAUCGAUCACGAGCGCGAUAAACAAAGCUUGUCCAGUCAUACAAGAGCAGCCUGUUUGUGACCUUAGAAUUGGGAAUUUGGUCUAAAAUGGUAAAAGAAAGGUUUUUUUUU